RNAcentral lists this unclassified non-coding RNA (276 nucleotides) under uncultured fungus. RNAcentral's name for it is "sequence contains ITS1". Lineage: Eukaryota; Fungi. The record is from RNAcentral.
ACGAUAGCUUGGCGUUCCAGGGGGUUGUCGCUGGCCCACGUUCUUGGGCAUGUGCACACCUCCUGGUCGUCUCAUCCGCUUUUCACACCUGUGCACAAACCGUGGCCGAUGUCAGAGGGGUGUGGUGCCCUCCUCGCCCUCUCCUUCGUGGUGUUGUGAGAGGGGGGGCACUAUAAGCCCCUCUGCGCCAUCUCGCCACCCUUUUUUCCACCACACUCGUUUUGCAGAAUGUGCGUCGUUAACGGCGUGCGCCAUCGCAGGCGCCGCAAACAAAAA